UACGUAGGGUGCAAGCGUUGUCCGGAAUUAUUGGGCGUAAAGAGCUCGUAGGCGGCUAAGUAAGUCGGGUGUGAAAACUCCAGGCUCAACCUGGAGACGCCACCUGAUACUGCUUUGGCUAGAGUCCGGUAGGGGAGCAUGGAAUUCCUGGUGUAGCGGUGAAAUGCGCAGAUAUCAGGAGGAACACCAGUGGCGAAGGCGGGGCUCUGGGCCGGAACUGACGCUGAGGAGCGAAAGCGUGGGGAGCAAACAGG
Molecule: ribosomal RNA, 254 nt
Filed under: uncultured bacterium
Lineage: Bacteria
Description: partial 16S ribosomal RNA
Rfam family: Bacterial small subunit ribosomal RNA
Source: RNAcentral